AGGUAUCAAUAAAUUGGCUGAAUCUGUAGAAAUUUAUUAUCAUUCAGCUUCAACCAUAAAUUGACAUAAUAGAAAAUUUCUGAUGAAUUUUUUAUUAUCUCAUCAAAUUUUUCUUCAAAAUUCAUAUCAAAACCUGAAUAUUUUCUAUAACUACACACAAUAAUUGGCUAGUAUGUAUCAAAGAGUGAAAAUAAGUUGAAAUGUUUUCUUCCAGAAAGUGCUUGUGGCGUAAUCUUCUUCUUGUGGAUUGGUCUUAAGGUAAUUUUCAACAAUUUUUGGAGUUACUGAAAAUAUUUAUUAAAAAAUAAAUAAACAAUACAGAUUUUAGAAAUGGAUACUUCUAAGAAAAUUAUUUGUUAAACAAUUCACAAAGAACUUGUCUUUUUCUUAUGUUUUAUGUUUUAUUUUUUAUUGUUUCUUUAUAAAUCUAAAUGCACAUCAUAUAGUAGAAUUUUAUUAGGCUUUAAGUUACAAAAUCACCUCACUUUUCACAAAUCUUACUCAAAGCAAGUAAAUGAAUUGGUUUGUGUGCUUUUUUCACUUGGUUUUUUAACAGUCAUUUUGUUAAAAAUGGUUCAUAGAUGCUCAAUCUUACAUCAUAAAAUAUUUAAUAUUCAUACAAACUUACACAACUCCUGUAGAAGGAUCCAAUACAAAAAAAAAAUGGAAUUUCUAUAAUUUCUAAAUUACUGAUAGUCCUUCACACAUUUCAUAUUUUGGAAAAGAACAGAACUUAAAAUUCUAUUCAAAUGGCCACACUUUAGAUAUGUUAUUCUAGCACAAAUGCAAGGAAUCUUAAUAUAAAAAAAAAUAUUAAUUAAAUUGUUACGUUAGUCAUUUAAAUUUUUACAUUUGCCAUCAAAUUGUCAUGAUUUAAUAAAACUCUCACUGUAAAUAUCCUAAAAAAAUAAAAAAAUAAAAAAAAUUACAAUAAUUGUUGAAAUUUUAUGUAUAUGGUAGUCCAAAUUUAGAAAAAUCUGUAGUUCGUAGUAGACAUUAGUUAUGAUGGAAUUUUAGAUAUUUCAUUAGAGAGACGUUAUAAAAUAAUCAAUAAUAAUAAGUUAACAAGGUUUUUUUUUUGACUUGGGUAUGAAACAUCGUUUCAAAUCAAAAAAGAUUGACAAGAUUUUUAGAUCUAUGUCUACUUUCAAAAUCCUUAUAAAGAUCUUGUACUUUGUGAAGAUACAUUAAUUUUUCAAGGCUUUGGCUUUUGAAAAUAAUAUAAAACAAAAAUAGGCUAUUACAAAGAUUAUAAUAUUUUCCAUCAUGGUUCUUAAUAUAGAAAUUUACAUCUUAAAUACAAUAUCUUAAACUUCUAUAAUAUUUUGGUAGUGUUGAAGCCACUUAAAGAAGGUUUUUGAUAAACUAAUAAUUGUUGUAUUUAGAAUUGCAAAAAGAUGACAAAAAUUGUUUGAGUUUUGUGGAAUAGGUCAAGCAUGAACAGAUAGAAAAUUGUUAUCUUAGAUAGGAGUUUCUUAGUGAAUAAUUCUUAAUGCUAACCUAAUAAUAUUUUUUCUUCCUUGUCCUAAGCAUGGUCACCAAUUUUUCUUGUUCAUGUCUGUUAUAAUUUUACUUCAUUCUUUUCUUCUAGUGUAUUUUACUCUUUGAAGAAUCUCUAAAAUUUAAUGUAUACAUAUGUAUAUUUUUUUCCUGAUAUCUAAAAUACCUUCAACAUACCUAAAUUUAAAAAUCAUGAGAAUAACCUUAAAAAUAGCCAAUU
RNAcentral lists this long non-coding RNA (1720 nucleotides) under Physcomitrium patens. Its description in RNAcentral is "long non-coding RNA (PPAT_LNC009527)". The record is from RNAcentral. Lineage: Eukaryota; Viridiplantae; Streptophyta; Bryopsida; Funariales; Funariaceae.